GAUGAACGCUGGCGGCGUGCCUAAUACAUGCAAGUCGAGUGAACAGACGAGGAGCUUGCUCCUCUGACGUUAGCGGCGGACGGGUGAGUAACACGUGGAUAACCUACCUAUAAGACUGGGAUAACUUCGGGAAACCGGAGCUAAUACCGGAUAAUAUAUUGAACCGCAUGGUUCAAUAGUGAAAGACGGUUUUGCUGUCACUUAUAGAUGGAUCCGCGCCGCAUUAGCUAGUUGGUAAGGUAACGGCUUACCAAGGCAACGAUGCGUAGCCGACCUGAGAGGGGGAUCGGCCACACUGGAACUGAGACACGGUCCAGACUCCUACGGGAGGCAGCAGUAGGGAAUCUUCCGCAAUGGCGAAAGCCUGACGGAGCAACGCCGCGUGAGUGAUGAAGGUCUUCGGAUCGUAAAACUCUGUUAUUAGGGAAGAACAAAUGUGUAAGUAACUAUGCACGUCUUGACGGUACCUAAUCAGAAAGCCACGGCUAACUACGUG
Molecule: ribosomal RNA, 496 nt
Filed under: uncultured bacterium
Lineage: Bacteria
Description: partial 16S ribosomal RNA
Rfam family: Bacterial small subunit ribosomal RNA
Source: RNAcentral